GGGGGUAUAGCUCAGUUGGGAGAGCACCUGCCUUGCACGCAGGGGGUCAAGGGUUCGAAUCCCUUUACCUCCACCA
Molecule: transfer RNA, 76 nt
Filed under: Sarcina ventriculi
Lineage: Bacteria; Bacillati; Bacillota; Clostridia; Eubacteriales; Clostridiaceae
Also listed under: 4 other names
Description: Clostridium ventriculi tRNA-Ala(tgc)
Rfam family: tRNA
About the family: Transfer RNA (tRNA) molecules are approximately 80 nucleotides in length. Their secondary structure includes four short double-helical elements and three loops (D, anti-codon, and T loops).
Source: RNAcentral